This 178-nucleotide small RNA is filed under the name Oryza sativa Japonica Group (Japanese rice). Its description in RNAcentral is "sRNA Os05g0197500". Lineage: Eukaryota; Viridiplantae; Streptophyta; Magnoliopsida; Poales; Poaceae. The record is from RNAcentral.
CGCCACCGCCGCCGCCGUUGCCGCCGCGGCGACGCCGGUUGCUGUUGCCCUUGCCGCCACCGCCUUGGUUGCCGGCACCAUAGCCGGUGCCGUGCGCUGGAUUGGCGCCCUUGCCGCCGUUGGUCGUGCUGCCCGUGGCGAGGAAGACGGCGGAAGAAGCAGACGCGGCGUGGUUCGG